Molecule: ribosomal RNA, 498 nt
Filed under: Triticum aestivum (bread wheat)
Lineage: Eukaryota; Viridiplantae; Streptophyta; Magnoliopsida; Poales; Poaceae
Description: partial small subunit ribosomal RNA
Source: RNAcentral
AUGAGGCGGCCUUCGGCUCGGAGGACCGUCGAGCCCAAUGAAUCUCCUAAGUUGGAACUGCUGGGGAGGGGGAAUACCUGGACAGUUCAUGAGCUAGCGACUCUUUGUCAGUCGCAUUCCCCCACUUUGUUUUUCUUAUGUGAGACAAGGCAGAAGGCGGACAAGUUGAAAAGAAUUCAAGGAAGGUUGGAUUUGAAGGGUUUUUGUGGCGUGGAUAGUAACGGUAUGAGCGGUGGUUUGGCUCUAUAUUGGCAUGAAUCUUAUGACGUUCAGAUUUUGGAUAAGAAGGAUAGAUAUAUCAACGCACUGGUGCGAGUCCAUCCGGAUGUUGCGCAGUGGAGAGUCACUUGCGUGUAUGGAGAACCUAGAGUGGAAAACAGACUGUUAAUGUGGUCGACGUUACAGAACUUGAAAAGUGUUAGUGAUCUGCCAUGGUUAGUUGUCCGUGAUUUUAAUGAGGCUAUGUGGAAGUUCGAGCACAUAUGUCUGUCACGCUGA